RNAcentral lists this small nucleolar RNA (105 nucleotides) under Hucho hucho (huchen). RNAcentral describes it as "Small nucleolar RNA SNORA57 (ENSHHUG00000005649.1)". It matches the Rfam family "Small nucleolar RNA SNORA57". Rfam says of the family: U99 belongs to the H/ACA class of snoRNAs which are thought to guide the sites of modification of uridines to pseudouridines, the target for this family is unknown. The record is from Rfam by way of RNAcentral. Lineage: Eukaryota; Metazoa; Chordata; Actinopteri; Salmoniformes; Salmonidae.
CACACUGUUCAUCUGUACUCGUAUUUGUGUGUGUUAACAGUGCUAUGUCUUCGGUGCCAGAAUGUUCCCCGUCUUCUCGUUCUAUCAUCAAUCGCUGGGACAUUC